GGGGGGAUAGUGGAGUAGUACACCACCUGGACUAGCCUCUUAAUCCCUAAUAAGAGGUCGUAGGUUCGAAUCCUACUCCCCCCU
RNAcentral lists this transfer RNA (84 nucleotides) under Sodiomyces alkalinus F11. It matches the Rfam family "tRNA". From Rfam's summary of the family: Transfer RNA (tRNA) molecules are approximately 80 nucleotides in length. Their secondary structure includes four short double-helical elements and three loops (D, anti-codon, and T loops). Lineage: Eukaryota; Fungi; Ascomycota; Sordariomycetes; Glomerellales; Plectosphaerellaceae. The record is from Rfam by way of RNAcentral.